CGUGUAGGCGGGACGGCACGUCGGUCGCUGAAAUCCCCCGGCUUAACCGGGGAACGGGCGCCGAUACGACCGCCCUGGAGGGACGUAGGGGGACCUGGAACUUCCGGUGGAGCGGUGAAAUGCGUUGAGAUCGGAAGGAACGCCCGUGGCGAAAGCGAGGUCCUGGACGUUUUCUGACGCUGAGACGCGAAAGCCAGGGGAGCGAACG
Molecule: ribosomal RNA, 208 nt
Filed under: uncultured bacterium
Lineage: Bacteria
Description: partial 16S ribosomal RNA
Rfam family: Bacterial small subunit ribosomal RNA
Source: RNAcentral